GGAAUAUUGGGCAAUGGGCGAAAGCCUGACCCAGCAACGCCGCGUGAAGGAAGAAGGCCUUCGGGUUGUAAACUUCUUUUAUGAGGGACGAAGGACGUGACGGUACCUCAUGAAUAAGCCACGGCUAACUACGUGCCAGCAGCCGCGGUAAUACGUAGGUGGCAAGCGUUGUCCGGAUUUACUGGGUGUAAAGGGCGCGUAGGCGGGAUGGCAAGUCAGAUGUGAAAUCUAUGGGCUCAACUCAUAAACUGCAUUUGAAACUGUCGUUCUUGAGUAUCGGAGAGGCAAGCGGAAUUCCUAGUGUAGCGGUGAAAUGCGUAGAUAUUAGGAGGAACACCAGUGGCGAAGGCUGCUUGCUGGACGACAACUGACGCUGAGGCGCGAAAGCGUGGGGAGCAAACA
This 402-nucleotide ribosomal RNA is filed under the name uncultured bacterium. RNAcentral describes it as "bacterial SSU rRNA". It matches the Rfam family "Bacterial small subunit ribosomal RNA", at positions 358 to 774 of the family's 1533-position model. The record is from RNAcentral.